GUGUGAGGUAGUAAUUGUGUGGGAGUGAGCAGCCCCCCCGCUGUGUUUUUGUUCACUGCUCCCUGCUGUUUUUCAGGCCUCUGGGCUCACAUUGUAUUCAAGUGUUGCUGCUAACAUCUAUACUCCUGUUAACGCUCACAGCUAGCAGUGUAUCGAAUAUUUAUAUUGAAUAUAAAAAUCCUUUUCUUGUUAGCAGCGAAGGUCACAUCGUCAUGCUGAAAACAUGCAUGCUCUUUCCUGCUAAGAUGAAUUAUUAUUCAGCUACUCAUCACCACAAUACACGAGCUUUAGGCUCUUAUUAAGAUAUUCCCUCUUUCUUCCUCCGUGCAAUGAAUCACUCUGAUAAUGUGGCAUAUUUAUCAAUUUUCUUCUGCCCUCUCUGUCUUUCUAUUCCUCUCCAAUGAGCCUGUGUUAGAUAUGAUCAAUGUAUUCUUUAUUUCCAUACCUCCAUCUCUACGAACUCCCCUCCCUCUUUUCUCUUUCUCCAUCUAAUGAUCAUGGCAUUAUCUUCCUCCCACUGAUCACCUUCCUCUCUAUCUAAUGAUUGCUCCUAUUUGAUCAAGCCAUAUCCCUGCUCCCUCUCUUUUUCUCUCACAUUAUUCCUCCCACUCUCUGCCCACCCUCCCAGUCUCCCUGUCUCCCUCUCUGCCUCAGUUUCUUCUUCAGUUUUUGUUUUUCACUUGCUCCAUCUCCCUCUUUUCCCGUCUCCAUCUCUCUCUGUUCAUCGAUCCAGUAAACCGGGGUAGUGUUGCUGUACUUGUGUACAUUUGGUCAUGUAAUGUAUCUGAAUCAAACAAGGUCAGAUCAGGUUUUCUUUUCUCCUUGAAAGUUCCUAGAGUGCAUUGUUUCACCUGUUUAGUGUUACUCCGAGACAGUCAACUUCACAAAUACAUAGUGUUAGCAAAAACAAAUCAUGACUAACCGAAUCUGUCUUGUUUCUUCUCUCCUCCCUCUGCUCUCCAUCUUCAUGAACAAAAGUUUCUGAUGGCUGUAGAGACCAGGGUGUUCCCCAAGAUGUCUGAGAGACGUCGCUCUCAUGUUACCUGAUGGAUCAGGACCACUUUAACUUCCCUGAAGCCUGACAGCGACCUUUACCUUCGUGAUGACCUGUAGCUGACAACAGAGAGAGGAAGAGACAUGAUGAAAAUGGUUUAGUCAAAGUGAAUCAGAGAGACUGCCCUUUGUGAAAGUAUUUGAUUGCUGGCUGGUGAUUGGUCAACACCAGGCCACAUUUACAUUUACGAUUAAAAGAAACAAGAUGGGAGGAAGAGACUUCAACUGUACAGUCACAAGAAAUACAGUGGAUAUGAAUAACAAUGUGUUUUGUUGAGUGAUUCUAGUCGUGAUUUUUGAAUUCUGUCUUUCGAUAUUUUUUAUUUGAUCAAUUUGACUGAAACCACAAAUCUGUAAAAGCUGUAGGUCACCAACAUAUUUCCUACAGGACAUGAUGGAAUAAAUGAAGAACAAAAGACGAACCAUUAGCAUGAGGACGUGAGAUAAUUAAGACACUGAUUUGCCAGCUUUGUGUUUUUGGCUUGUGCAUUUUUGCCAGAACCCAGUUGAACAAAAUAUAGAGAAAAAACUACUUCAGCAAAUGAUAUCCAUCCAUAACAAUGUUGCUGUGACAGGUGUAUUUGGCUCAGUGAUGAAUCAUAUGUCAUUGGGCUCAAAACACAAACAGAGUUUCCACUGCCCCUGAAUUGGCUGCCUGGUGCAGCUGCCACUCUGCUUAAAGCAGUUUAUUUCAGUGUUAAACGUUUAUUGGAGAGUUUACUGUUUCAAAAACUGACUUUAGCAUUAGCCUCUAGUGUGUUUUAGUGGCCUUUCUAUUGUGAUAUCGACACCAUUUUGCUGGUCUGAAAAGGUACAAUAUAUUGAACUUUAAGGGGGUUCGAGGUUCUCAUUCUUAAACAUGUUGCAUCUUCUCUAAACGGUGAGGAAAACGGUGUUUACUGCGCACAGAAUCAGCAUUUAUUCAAGUGAUGAGUGUGGAACAAACAUAUAAUCAAAGUAUAAAUGUCUCUGAUACUCAAUAUUCAGUGUAGACAGUUUAAAUGAUAACUUGAUUAUGAUGAAGGUGUUAGCAACCCUUCCAUUAGUCUUAACAGUAGGUACAACACAGUGUUUCAAUAGCAAUCACAUCUUCAGCCUGCUGUAUCUCACUGUUGGUCACAAGAUGCAUGGUAUCCUGAAAUGUCAGGGCUGUGUGUAAAAAUGACUCAUCCUUCCUGAUAAUUACUAGAUUUGAACUGUCGUACCUCUCUAAUGUGUAAAUCAGUGUCAGAACGAUAUCACACAUUAUUAACGUUGUAUCUAAAUAGCAGGUUUCAAAAUAUCACCUCUCAUUACUGGCCUCACUGGGGAACUAUAGUAACCUCCCUGUCUGUCACAUCACGACAUUAAGAUUCAGUUACAGUAAUGUCACUGAGGCAUGUGACUGGGGUGCAGUGUUUGAAUGGCUAGUUUGGGCUCAUUUACAUUGAUUGAUGAGAGUCACUAAGAGUCAUCAGCUCCCAUAAGAAACUCCAGUAGAAAUAGUAAUAUAAUAAAAUCUUAAGGUUGUUGGAUUCACAGUUGUGUCGAGUACAAAACCAAAAUGUGUAAAUUAUCUAUAUAUCGAUGUGUGUUUGUGUGUAUGACUGAUUGUGUGUAAUAUGGAGACUGGGGAUUACUAUAUAUGGUGUGGGCUCAGUAUUACUAUGUGGGAGGGUCUGUAGGUCAUAAAUGAUGUUCUAAACUCAUAAAGUUGUAAUAUUUAACACAACAACUGCCUUGGAAGUGUUGAUCCAAACAAAGCUUUUCCCAUGAUGCCACAUUAGCUUUCUAAGAUACUGUAUCAUUGGCUUAUUUCCCUGAAAAAUAUCCAAGAGUAUCAAAAGUCAAACAGCCUUAAAAUGAAAAGAAUCAAAACAGUUAGCGUGAGCCAUAACACUGAUGGAAAGCAGUAAAUCAAAAUCACUGCAAGUGCGUUUGCAGGAAAUGAGUGCUCAGCUCAGUUACUGCCCCACAGCACAUUGAUAUAUUGGACAGAUUCUGCAAAUGUAGGGCAGCAUUUCUGGGUAAAAGUUGAGAUAAAUUCAUUCAUAGUAAAAACUCAAAAGUGUUUGUGCCUCAAUAGAAAUCAAACCUUAAUUCAUGCUGUGAUUUUUCCCUCCUCUUCAUCUGCUUUAUUACUGGUGAUGUUUAUCUUCGAUUUUUUUUCCCUCAGUUAACUUUGUACGGUUUCAUUCAUUAUCUUAGCCAAAUGCCUUUCUGAGAGCUCUACUCUAUUUUUGGAUGACAACACUAAUGUUUUUAAGUUUUGACUGUGUGUGUGUUGUACAGUUUUUGUGUGCGAGAAAGAAGACGUCUGUACUUCUGAUAUUUUAUGCCUUACAAAUGACCAGUGUUCUCCCAUAAGUGUUUCUGUAGCAGUGGUGCUGGAGUUUCUUUACCUUGUUUGGGUUGGGCGCAGUUUAGAGAUUUGAAAUAUUGUCAUUUAAACACUUUAUUAUAAUCAACCUUUCAGCCCUAAACACUGAUUCUGUUUCAGGGUCAAUAAUAGCAAAUUGUAAUGUAAGUUUUCCAUGACGAUGGUGUUGUGUUCGCUUUUCGAUUGUGGAAUGAACAUACUGCCGUGUACAGUUUUCUGCAUGCAUAUCUUUGGUGUUAAACGACUGUACAGAGUAACAUACACAUGCACACACAGACUAACUUAACUAUUUUAAGAUUGUAGCUUUAUUCUGUGACUUUGCAAUAUUGAUUUUAUUUUAAGCCCUUUAAGGUGACUGAUACAAAUUCUUUCGAUUAAAAACAGUUUUGGUUCUA
Seriola aureovittata is the source of this 3807-nucleotide long non-coding RNA. RefSeq lists it as uncharacterized. The record is from RefSeq and is a predicted model, not a curated record. The transcript has 2 exons. NCBI's taxonomy places the organism in Eukaryota, Metazoa, Chordata, Actinopteri, Carangiformes, Carangidae.